RNAcentral lists this ribosomal RNA (450 nucleotides) under uncultured bacterium. RNAcentral describes it as "partial 16S ribosomal RNA". It matches the Rfam family "Bacterial small subunit ribosomal RNA", at positions 354 to 796 of the family's 1533-position model. The record is from RNAcentral.
GUGGGGAAUUUUGGACAAUGGGCGCAAGCCUGAUCCAGCAAUGCCGCGUGCAGGAAGAAGGCCUUCGGGUUGUAAACUGCUUUUGUACGGAACGAAAAGGCUCUGGUUAAUACCUGGGGCUCAUGACGGUACCGUAAGAAUAAGCACCGGCUAACUACGUGCCAGCAGCCGCGGUAAUACGUAGGGUGCAAGCGUUAAUCGGAGUUACUGGGCGUAAAGCGUGCGCAGGCGGUUUUGUAAGACAGACGUGAAAUCCCCGGGCUCAACCUGGGAAUGGCGUUUGUGACUGCAAAGCUGGAGUGCGGCAGAGGGGGAUGGAAUUCCGCGUAUAGCAGUGAAAUGCGUAGAUAUGCGGAGGAACACCGAUGGCGAAGGCAAUCCCCUGGGCCUGCACUGACGCUCAUGCACGAAAGCGUGGGGAGCAAACAGGAUUAGAAACCCGUGUAGUCC